AAAAAUAUAAAUUGAACUAAAUUUAAUAAUAGCUCAAAUUUCUAACCUAAUUAAAAUAUGAGUGUGCUAUCUAUACACCCAUUUUUAAUUUUUACACACCUCUUAUUAUUUUAUGUUCUUUGUUCUUUUUAAUUCAUCUUAUUCGACGGUCAGAAAGUAAAAAAUUAUGUAAAAAGUAAAAAAAAUGUGUGAAUAUCAUCUCCUAUUAAAAUAUCUAAUAAAAAAUAUGUUUUUUUUAUUGACAAAACUGGUACUUGGUAAUAUUGACCUGAUGACUUUCGCAUCGUAGAAGUGUCACAGAAAAUGACAUUUUUUAUCAAUGGAAAAGUAUCUAUAAAAAAAUGUCAUAAGAAAUGUAACUUAAAAAGUAGGGGUGUGAUAUCCACACAUCCCAUUUCACU
Molecule: long non-coding RNA, 401 nt
Filed under: Malus domestica (apple)
Lineage: Eukaryota; Viridiplantae; Streptophyta; Magnoliopsida; Rosales; Rosaceae
Description: long non-coding RNA (MDOM_LNC014585)
Source: RNAcentral